AUUGAGGGGGGCUGCUCCUAGUACGAGAGGACCGGAGUGGACGCAUCACUGGUGUUCGGGUUGUCAUGCCAAUGGCACUGCCCGGUAGCUAAAUGCGGAAGAGAUAAGUGCUGAAAGCAUCUAAGCACGAAACUUGCCCCGAGAUGAGUUCUCCCUGAGACCUUGAGUCUCCUGAAGGAACGUUGAAGACGACGACGUUGAUAGGUCGGGUGUGUAAGCGCAGCGAUGCGUUGAGCUAACCGAUACUAAUGAACCGUGAGGCUUAACCUUACAACGCCGAAGCUGUU
This 287-nucleotide ribosomal RNA is filed under the name Enterobacter cloacae. RNAcentral describes it as "partial 23S ribosomal RNA". It matches the Rfam family "Bacterial large subunit ribosomal RNA", at positions 2661 to 2925 of the family's 2925-position model. Lineage: Bacteria; Pseudomonadati; Pseudomonadota; Gammaproteobacteria; Enterobacterales; Enterobacteriaceae. The record is from RNAcentral.